GCAUGCGGAUUAAUUCGAUGCAACGCGAAGAACCUUACCAAGGCUUGACAUGUUCGAUCGCCGUAGAGAUACGGUUUCCCUUUGGGGGUUCACAGGUGGUGCAUGGUUGUCGUCAGCUCGUGUCGUGAGAUGUUGGGUUAAGUCCCGCAACGAGCGCAACCCUCGUUCCAUGUUGCCAGCACGUAAGUGGGGACUCAUGGGAGACUGCCGGGGUCAACUCGGAGGAAGGUGAGGACGACGUCAAAUCAUCAUGCCCCUUAUGUCUUGGGCUUCACGCAUGCUACAAUGGCCGGUACAAUGGGUUAAUCCCAAAAAGCCGGUCUCAGUUCGGAUUGGGGUCUGCAACUCGACCCCAUGAAGUCGGAGUCGCUAGUAAUCGCAGAUCAGCACGCUGCGGUGAAUACGUUCCCGGGCCUUGUACACACCGCCCGUCAAGUCACGAAAGUNGGUAACACCCGAAGCCGGUGGCCUAACC
RNAcentral lists this ribosomal RNA (475 nucleotides) under Arthrobacter sp. M44. RNAcentral's name for it is "bacterial SSU rRNA". It matches the Rfam family "Bacterial small subunit ribosomal RNA", at positions 937 to 1440 of the family's 1533-position model. The record is from RNAcentral. Lineage: Bacteria; Bacillati; Actinomycetota; Actinomycetes; Micrococcales; Micrococcaceae.